CGAGUGGCGGACGGGUGAGUAAUACGUAGGAACCUACCCUAAAGAGGGGGAUAGCCACAGGAAACUGUGGGUAAAACCGCAUAGAACUCUAAGGAGGAAAGGAAUUAUAUCUGAGAGGGUAUCAUUCGCUUAAGGAUGGGCUUACGGUGGAUUAGCUAGUUGGAGAGGUAAAGGCUCCCCAAGGCGACGAUCCAUAGCUGGUCUGAGAGGACGAACAGCCACACUGGGACUGAGACACGGCCCAGACUCC
This 250-nucleotide ribosomal RNA is filed under the name uncultured bacterium. RNAcentral's name for it is "partial 16S ribosomal RNA". It matches the Rfam family "Bacterial small subunit ribosomal RNA", at positions 92 to 339 of the family's 1533-position model. The record is from RNAcentral.